AGGUGGCUAUAGCGGCAGGGCUCCACCUCUUCCCAUUCCGAACAGAGAAGUUAAACCUGCCCGCGCCGAUGGUACUGCGAUACGAUGUGGGAGAGUAGGUCGCCGCCUU
RNAcentral lists this ribosomal RNA (109 nucleotides) under pig gut metagenome. The record is from RNAcentral.